This is a long non-coding RNA of Symsagittifera roscoffensis, 390 nucleotides long. RefSeq lists it as uncharacterized. NCBI's taxonomy places the organism in Eukaryota, Metazoa, Xenacoelomorpha, Acoela, Convolutidae. The transcript is spliced from 3 exons. The record is from RefSeq and is a predicted model, not a curated record.
AACCAUGACGAUGUCAGAGGAGAGUACAUGUAUCAUCAAGACACAGUUAACGACUUCUAUCUCAAAAGUGACUCAGCUACUUUCACUUCAAAUAUACUUCUGCUUCUUAUCCCAUGCUUCAACUGCAUCACUCUCAUCCUCGCACUUCUCAUAGUGAAUCCAUUCAAGGAAACUAUUCCUAUCAUCAGAAAAAAGAUUGCUUACUAUUUUCGGAAAACUGCUCCAGACGAAAAUCAAUCAGCCAACCUACCUGCACCGGUCGCGAAGUGAUUCAGUCCGACAACAGCCAGAUGUUAUGUUCUGCUUCAAAUAGUAUCUACUCCAAUGCCAACGACAGUAAAGAAGCUCAUCGUGGAAAAUAACUUUUCCAUUUUCCUUUGACAUCAUAAU